This 390-nucleotide ribosomal RNA is filed under the name Triticum aestivum (bread wheat). RNAcentral's name for it is "partial small subunit ribosomal RNA". Lineage: Eukaryota; Viridiplantae; Streptophyta; Magnoliopsida; Poales; Poaceae. The record is from RNAcentral.
AUGAUCUCAAAUGAAAAAGAGCCAAUUAAAAUGUUGACAUUGGCUACAAAAGGCAAUGAGGCAAGUCAAUCAAGUGCCAAAUCUGAAGGGAAGAAGUUGAGAGUGCACAAGGUAAAACAAGAAUUGCCAUUAAUUCAAACAAAAUCGCAGUCGGGGUGCCCACUCGGCCUAUCGUAUUGGCAAAAGAAGGAGUUGCAAAAGCUUAGUGCACAAGAACUUGAAAAGAGAAACAUGGCAUGGGUUCUCAAAGGAAAUAUUCAAAAAAAGAAUUAUGUGCGAGCUUCCUUUACAAGGAGUGCGACAAAGGUGAAGAAGGAAAAGAGUGAAAGCUACGAAGGACCAAGCCGAAAGUUUCAACAUCUUUGGUCCACACAUUAUCCAUUUUCUUAA